This 1452-nucleotide long non-coding RNA is filed under the name Canis lupus familiaris (dog). RNAcentral describes it as "lncRNA (ENSCAFG00000046915.2)". Lineage: Eukaryota; Metazoa; Chordata; Mammalia; Carnivora; Canidae. The record is from RNAcentral.
AUGCAGGGGCCACAGAGGAGUUUGGGGCCCCUGGAGAGAGCUGCAGGGGGUGCGAGGCCCCAGGAGGGUGCAGUGCUCCAGGAGGGUGCGGGAACCCCAGAGGAAUUCAGGGCCUCUGGAGGGUGCAGGGCCCCAGAGGAAUUCGGGGCCUCUGGAGGGUGCAGGGCCCCAGGGGGUGCGAGGCCCCAGGAGGGUGCAGGGCCCCAGCGGGUGCGGCGGGGAAUUCAGGGCCCCAGGAGGGUGCAGGGACCCCAGGGGAAUUCAGGGCCUCUGGAGGGUGCAGUGCUCCAGGAGGGUGCGGCGACCCCAGAGGAAUUCGGGGCCCCUGGAGGGUGCCGGGCCCCAGCAGGUGCACGGCCCCUGGACGGGGCGAGGCUCCGGGGGGUGGGAGCCCCCGCCAGCGCCUCCCCGGCUCCCGAGGCCCGAGGCCCUGCGCAGCAGCCAGCGGGGGCACGGAGCCUCUCCGUCCCGAGCACCCCAGCACCCCCGCACCCCCAGCCCCGGCGCGGGCCCCCCUGCUCGGGCGCCUGGCCCCAACGAGCCCGCGCUGUCUCGCUCGUUCCCACGGCGGGGGGUUUAUUUUCCUUUCUCGCCCCGUCGAACAGGAAGCGAAGCGAGGCGGUGCGCGCCGGCCUAGCGGGUGCGGGGCGCGCGCGGCAGCACCAGCAGCGGGAUCUGCUCCAGCCGCUCGGGCCGCGCCCCCCGCCGCCGCCACGCCGCCAGCCUCCGCAGCAGCCCCUGCAGGCGCCGGGGCGCCCACCCGCCGCGCUCGGGGGCCUUCCUGCGGCGCCCUCCGCGGCCCGCGCCGCGCGCCCACAGCCGCCGCCAGCACCAGCAGCCCGCGCCGCCCCCGCCUCCGCCUCCGCCGCCGCCGCCGCCGCCCCGGGGCCUCCGCGCCUCCGCCAUGCCCGCGCUGCCCGCACGCUCCUCCGGGCCGAGGGCUCCUCGGUGCGCGCCCGGGUCGCCCGGGAAACGCGAACGCGGGCCCACAAUGCCCCGCACGGGCCGCCGGGGGUUGGGGGGAGGAUGGGGGGGAUGGGCCGCGUGACCCCUGCCUGGCCUCGACACCGACACCGAGGGCGGGAUCCAGGCGUGCCCGGGGCUCGAACGGCCCCCUCGGCUCCCCCACUGGAUCCCAACUUGGCUGCCGGGCCCAGGCCAGUGUUGCCUGCAGGCUUGUCGUUUCGGGGACGCUGGUUUCAGGGCUUCUCUGAUUUUCCACAAAGGCGGGGAACCAGUGUCUCAGGAAAGAUCCCCAAACCUGUCAUCUGGGCAGAAGCCUUUUGGUCCUCAUGGCAUAAGCCAUUCCCCUUCAAGAACCACUUGGUUGCUUUGCUCCUUCUCCAGUUGUCCGUGGGGGCCUCCUCCUCGUAUUCCGGGCUGUGUGUGCUUCCUGCUUCCUGUGCCAGAAAGUCAAGCACAAGUUUCUUAGGGGGAAAAUACAUGAACUAA